GCGGCCAUAGUUUAAUGAUAGAACAAUAGCCUUCCAAGCUAUCGAUGUGGGUUUGAUUCCCAUUGGCCGCUCCA
RNAcentral lists this transfer RNA (74 nucleotides) under Candidatus Mycoplasma haematohominis. RNAcentral describes it as "Candidatus Mycoplasma haemohominis tRNA-Gly". It matches the Rfam family "tRNA". Rfam says of the family: Transfer RNA (tRNA) molecules are approximately 80 nucleotides in length. Their secondary structure includes four short double-helical elements and three loops (D, anti-codon, and T loops). Further hydrogen bonds mediate the characteristic L-shaped molecular structure. tRNAs have two regions of fundamental functional importance: the anti-codon, which is responsible for specific mRNA codon recognition, and the 3' end, to which the tRNAs corresponding amino acid is attached (by aminoacyl-tRNA synthetases). tRNAs cope with the degeneracy of the genetic code in two manners: having more than one tRNA (with a specific anti-codon) for a particular amino acid; and 'wobble' base-pairing, i.e. permitting non-standard base-pairing at the 3rd anti-codon position. Lineage: Bacteria; Bacillati; Mycoplasmatota; Mollicutes; Mycoplasmatales; Mycoplasmataceae. The record is from RNAcentral.